This 812-nucleotide non-coding RNA is filed under the name Spodoptera exigua (beet armyworm). The record is from RNAcentral. Lineage: Eukaryota; Metazoa; Arthropoda; Insecta; Lepidoptera; Noctuidae.
AUAAAUAAAUUUUUUAUGGUUUUAAUAAUUUAUUUAAAAUUUAUUUUACAUAUAAAUUUUAGUGUUAAUUUUACUUUAUUUUAAUAAUAAUUUAAUUUAUUUGUAGUAAUUAAUAUUAAAUAAUUUAAGAAAUUAAGAUUUAGUAAUAUUUGAAUUAAUAACAAAUUUUGUGCCAGCAGUUGCGGUUAAACAAAAGUUAAUUUAAAUUUUAUUAGUAAUUAAUAAAUAAUUGAAAAUUUAUAAUAAUUUUAUUAUAAAUUAAAAUAAUAUAAAUUUUAAAUUAUUAGGUGAAAUUUUAAUUUAAUUUAAUAUUAUAAUGUAUUUAUGAUUUAAUAAAUUUUAUAAAAAACUAGGAUUAGAUACCCUAUUAUUAAAAUUUAAAUUGAAAAUACUAAAAUAGUAGGUAAUUAUUUAUUGAAACUUAAAUAAUUUGGCGGUAUUUUAGUUCAUUUAGAGGAAUCUGUUUAUUAAUUGAUAAUCCACGAAUAAAUUUACUUAAUUUUUUUAUUUUGUAUAUCGUUGUUAAAAAAAUAUUUUUUAAUAAUAAUAAUAUUUAAAAAUUUAAAUUAAAAAUUAAAUCAGAUCAAGAUGCAGAUUAUAAUUAAGAAUAUAAUGGAUUACAAUAAAUUUAUUUAAAUGGAUAUUAAUUUGUAAAAAUUAAUUAAAGGUGGAUUUAAAUGUAAUUUUAUUUAGUUUAAUAAAAUGAUUGAAAAUUGAAAUAUGUACAUAUUGCCCGUCGCUUUCAUAUAUUAAAAAUUGGAAUAAGUCGUAACAAAGUAGAGGUACUGGAAAGUGUUUCUAGAAAGAACAAA